RNAcentral lists this ribosomal RNA (2937 nucleotides) under Photorhabdus luminescens. RNAcentral's name for it is "23S ribosomal RNA". It matches the Rfam family "Bacterial large subunit ribosomal RNA". RNAcentral also lists the same sequence under 1 other name. Lineage: Bacteria; Pseudomonadati; Pseudomonadota; Gammaproteobacteria; Enterobacterales; Morganellaceae. The record is from RNAcentral.
GGGUUGUGAGGUUAAGCGAAUAAGCGUACACGGUGGAUGCCUAGGCAGUCAGAGGCGAUGAAGGACGUGCUAAUCUGCGAAAAGCGUCGGUAAGCUGAUAUGAAGCGCCAUAACCGGCGAUGUCCGAAUGGGGAAACCCAGUGCAAUGCGUUGCACUAUCAUUAACUGAAUCCAUAGGUUAAUGAGGCGAACCGGGGGAACUGAAACAUCUCAGUACCCCGAGGAAAAGAAAUCAACCGAGAUUCCCCCAGUAGCGGCGAGCGAACGGGGAGCAGCCCAGAACCAGCAUCAGCGAUGCCAUCAGAGGAACGGUCUGGAAAGGCCGGCGAGAGAGGGUGACAGCCCCGUACUCGAAGGUGGCAUGGCUGUGAGUUCGACGAGUAAGGCGGGACACGAGAAAUCCUGUCUGAAGAGGGGGGGACCAUCCUCCAAGGCUAAAUACUCCUGACUGACCGAUAGUGAACCAGUACCGUGAGGGAAAGGCGAAAAGAACCCCGGCGAGGGGAGUGAAAGAGAACCUGAAACCGUGUACGUACAAGCAGUGGAAGCCUUGAUUCGUCAGGGUGACUGCGUACCUUUUGUAUAAUGGGUCAGCGACUUAUAUUCUGUAGCAAGGUUAACCGUAUAGGGGAGCCGCAGGGAAACCGAGUCUUAACUGGGCGAAUAAGUUGCAGGGUAUAGACCCGAAACCCGGUGAGCUAGCCAUGGGCAGGUUGAAGGUUGGGUAACACUAACUGGAGGACCGAACCGACUAAUGUUGAAAAAUUAGCGGAUGACCUGUGGCUGGGGGUGAAAGGCCAAUCAAACCGGGAGAUAGCUGGUUCUCCCCGAAAGCUAUUUAGGUAGCGCCUCGUGAAGUCAUCUUCGGGGGUAGAGCACUGUUUCGGCUAGGGGGCCAUCCCGGCUUACCAACCCGAUGCAAACUGCGAAUACCGAAGAAUGUUAUCACGGGAGACACACGGCGGGUGCUAACGUCCGUCGUGAAGAGGGAAACAACCCAGACCGCCAGCUAAGGUCCCGAAGUCAUGGUUAAGUGGGAAACGAUGUGGGAAGGCCCAGACAGCCAGGAUGUUGGCUUAGAAGCAGCCAUCAUUGAAAGAAAGCGUAAUAGCUCACUGGUCGAGUCGGCCUGCGCGGAAGAUGUAACGGGGCUAAACCAUGCGCCGAAGCUGCGGCAAUGACAUUCAGGUGUUAUUGGGUAGGGGAGCGUUCUGUAAGCCGUUGAAGGUGGCGCUGUGAGGCCCGCUGGAGGUAUCAGAAGUGCGAAUGCUGACAUAAGUAACGAUAAAGCGGGUGAAAAACCCGCUCGCCGGAAGACCAAGGGUUCCUGUCCAACGUUAAUCGGGGCAGGGUGAGUCGACCCCUAAGGCGAGGCCGAACGGCGUAGCUGAUGGGAAACAGGUUAAUAUUCCUGUACUGAAUGUGACUGCGAAGGGGGGACGGAGAAGGCUAGGCCAUCCGGGCGACGGUCGUCCCGGUUUAAGCGUGUAGGUGGGAGGAGCAGGCAAAUCCGCUCUUCUGUAACACUGAGGCGUGAUGACGAGCUGCUACGGCAGUGAAGUGGUUGAUGCCCGGCUUCCAGGAAAAGCCUCUAAGCAUCAGGUGACAUUGAAUCGUACCCCAAACCGACACAGGUGGUCAGGUAGAGAAUACUCAGGCGCUUGAGAGAACUCGGGUGAAGGAACUAGGCAAAAUGGUGCCGUAACUUCGGGAGAAGGCACGCUGGCGGCAGGUGAAGGAGUUUGCCUCCGGAGCCGAAGCCAGUCGCAGAGACCAGCUGGCUGCAACUGUUUAUUAAAAACACAGCACUGUGCAAACACGUAAGUGGACGUAUACGGUGUGACGCCUGCCCGGUGCUGGAAGGUUAAUUGAUGGGGUUAGCCGCAAGGCGAGGCUCUUGAUCGAAGCCCCAGUAAACGGCGGCCGUAACUAUAACGGUCCUAAGGUAGCGAAAUUCCUUGUCGGGUAAGUUCCGACCUGCACGAAUGGCGUAAUGAUGGCCAGGCUGUCUCCACCCGAGACUCAGUGAAAUUGAACUCGCUGUGAAGAUGCAGUGUCCCCGCGGCAAGACGGAAAGACCCCGUGAACCUUUACUAUAGCUUGACACUGAACAUGGAGCCUUGAUGUGUAGGAUAGGUGGGAGGCCUGGAAGUGCGGACGCCAGUCUGCAUGGAGCCAUCCUUGAAAUACCACCCUUGAAUGUUCGAUGUUCUCACUUAAGCCCGUUAUCCGGGCUGAGGACAGUGUCUGGCGGGUAGUUUGACUGGGGCGGUCUCCUCCCAAAGCGUAACGGAGGAGCACGAAGGUUGGCUAAUCACGGUCGGACAUCGUGAGGUUAGUGCAAAGGCAUAAGCCAGCUUAACUGCGAGAGUGACGGCUCGAGCAGGUACGAAAGUAGGUCUUAGUGAUCCGGUGGUUCUGAAUGGAAGGGCCAUCGCUCAACGGAUAAAAGGUACUCCGGGGAUAACAGGCUGAUACCGCCCAAGAGUUCAUAUCGACGGCGGUGUUUGGCACCUCGAUGUCGGCUCAUCACAUCCUGGGGCUGAAGUAGGUCCCAAGGGUAUGGCUGUUCGCCAUUUAAAGUGGUACGCGAGCUGGGUUUAGAACGUCGUGAGACAGUUCGGUCCCUAUCUGCCGUGGGCGCAGGAAGAUUGAAAGGGGCUGCUCCUAGUACGAGAGGACCGGAGUGGACGCACCGCUGGUGUACGGGUUGUCAUGCCAAUGGCAUCGCCCGGUAGCUAAGUGCGGGAGAGAUAACCGCUGAAAGCAUCUAAGCGGGAAACUUGCCUUGAGAUGAGUCUUCCCUUGACUUUAGUCACGGAAGGAACGUUUAAGACGAAGACGUGGAUAGGCUGGGUGUGUAAGCGCAGCGAUGCGUUGAGCUGACCAGUACUAAUGAACCGAGCGGCUUAACCUUACAACGCCGAAGGGGUUUUG